GUCCAAUAUCGAGAGUUGGCACUGAGAGCUCGUCUCUUGUUCGAGAUGGAAGGGUCUGCACUAGCAGCCCUCUUGCUACUUCUUUAUUGGCUCGAUCCUUUGGCAUCGACUCCUUUUGGAUUGGCCUGAUCGUCGUCAUGGCUUGAUAUGAAUGGAGGAGUCUGCAAUGAAGACACGAAGUGUGUUGGUUUUGCUAGAAUUGGAAGUGAAGAUUAGAUCAUUGUGGCUGGUACAAUGAAGCAACUUCAAUUGCAUGUUUUUUUCCUAUCAAAUAGUACUGUAGGAGUGUGCAACUACUCAAAUUUUGACGUGUUAUUAUGUAAAAAAAUUAAACUCUUCAAUACUUUUUGCUGAAAGUAGUAACUUUUCAAUAUGUUGAAUAUUUAAGACUACUUGAAUACUUAAAGAACAUUUUGUUGUUGAUGACAAUGUUGAAUAUUUUAAACUAA
Long non-coding RNA from Humulus lupulus (European hop), 449 nucleotides. RefSeq lists it as uncharacterized. Lineage: Eukaryota; Viridiplantae; Streptophyta; Magnoliopsida; Rosales; Cannabaceae. The record is from RefSeq and is a predicted model, not a curated record. The transcript is spliced from 2 exons.